CAUAGAUGCAAGAUGCAAUAUGAGUAUCUUAGAGUUUAUCUUAAUCAUAAUCUCCUGUGUCCUAAUUGCCAUGAGCCAUUUUUGGCUGUUGAAACAGCUCCUCCACCUUCAAAUGGUUUCUAAAACUUCCACCACAUGGAAUUUUUCUCAGCAGCGCCAGAGCUCAAGUCAUCAAGCUGCAAGUAAAAACACAUCAAAUUCUGCAAGCAACAAUGUGGCCCCUCCAAAUGCAGGACCUGGCAGACCAGACUCGUAUAGUCAGACCAACUUCCCGUGGGGUCCAUUCUUUAGAGCUGGUGGUGCCUCAUCUGU
This 312-nucleotide unclassified non-coding RNA is filed under the name Hevea brasiliensis (rubber tree). Lineage: Eukaryota; Viridiplantae; Streptophyta; Magnoliopsida; Malpighiales; Euphorbiaceae. The record is from RNAcentral.